GGCAUGUAAGUGUCAUAAUUGUUGCAUUUUCUUGUUUUCUGAAACCACAUUUCUUUGUUUCAAAUGACGUGGUUAAAUUUCAAAAAUCAGGCUUGGAGACUGUUUAAAGAAGGCAGGCAUGUGGAGCUGGUUGGGGGAUUAAUAUUUGAAACUUGCAAAUUAUCUGAAGUUCUACGGUCGAUUCACAUAGGUCUAUUAUGUGUGCAAGAAAAUGCAAAAGAUAGGCCGAACAUGUCACAGGUGGUUUUGAUGCUGGGUAAUGAAGAUGAAUUGCCUCAGCCUAAACAUCCAGGUUUUUUUACUGGAAGGGAUCUUAUUGAAGCAAGCCAUUCAUUAAGUCAGAACAAACCAUGUUCUGCAAACGGAUGCUCGGUCUCCCUGUUAGAGGCACGGUAGAUUUGUAUCUGCCAUGUAUUUGCAGAAACUUUUAGUUGCUUCUAGCUUCUUCUUCUUUUUAUCAGCAUAAAAAUAAUGUACUUUGUUCAAGCACAACUUUAUGCAUCAGCAAUGAAGCUCAAAAUUGUCAGACAUUUGGAUUAAGUGCACAGGAAAGUAAUUGAAGAAAGAGCAAAAAAAUUAUAAUACUCCUACUAGCGUACUAGGCAUGUACGUUAACAUCUAGAAAGCAAGGAGGGAGAUCUCAAAUGGAGUAAAAAACCAAAAAUUAUGCUUGCAUAUAUCUAAAGAGAAAAAUCACAUGCCACCACUGGAAAUGACAACAAUAAGAGGCAAACACAAAUUUCAAGAAUUGGAGCUUGAAGGUAUUUACCUUUAUAGUGGCACAUUUGUAGUCUGUAGAGUUAGCUUCAAUUCCUUUCUGGGUUCGCAUUAAGGAGCGUGUGUGCUGUGCCCAUUUGAGAGGCUAAAAUGGAUGCCUUGGUACUUAGUAUUUGCAUUGCAAAAUCUCUGCACGCCGUGACACCGUUUCUCGUUGAGGAUUUUCGUCGAACACUUGCUGAAUCAAAAUAGUGAUCAGACGCUUUCAAUGGGUUGGGUGGACAAAAUGUUAAGACCAAGAACAAGGUCCAAAAGGCAAGUAUAAGCGCUUAACGAGUGGUGCAAGACCUGGAAAGAGCCUGCAGUGAGAGGUUAGCAAUUGCAUCAUUAAAAAUUCAUCGAAUGGGUUUGUAGUGUCUGUUACCGAUGAGGUUUUUAAUUUGCCAUGCUGUUUUUCUUAUAUACAAUAACUAAUAAAUAGAACCAUGUAUUAUUAUUUUUUCUAUCAUUUGAUGAACUUAAAUAUCAAAUAGAAAUACAUAUUUACUCAUUUAAACAUACUUAUUCAAAAUAAUUAAUUUUAAACUAGAAUUAUUCAUUAAAUUUAUUUCAAAA
Molecule: long non-coding RNA, 1332 nt
Filed under: Populus trichocarpa (black cottonwood)
Lineage: Eukaryota; Viridiplantae; Streptophyta; Magnoliopsida; Malpighiales; Salicaceae
Description: long non-coding RNA (PTRI_LNC000422)
Source: RNAcentral